UUAUCAGUGAUUGAUCACAACCAUCAGCCUCGUGUCCUGUCUCACAUCCUCCCGCCCGGAACAUCAAGAGCGCAGGGCCUGAUAAACGUCGCUGAUAAACUUUGAAUGCGGUGUGAUUACUGGGUGGUUGGGGGGGGGGUGUUGUCUUGGAGCCGUGCCAGGAUGCCUUAUCAUUAGUCACUAUGCAUUUUGCCCACUGAAAUCAUUUAGGAAGCCGCAGAGCAGCCGGUGACGGAGCUCGCGUAACGGCGUCGCCGCUUUUUACCUGGGGGAAAUAAUACAGCCGUGAACAGACAUUAAGCCACAUCACUAAAUUGAGGUAUUUGUUUGUCAUGCGUGUGUGUGAAUACCGGCCCUAAUGGGACACUUUAACCUGUCCAUCACGCAACAUAACGGGGAAAGCAAAGGGCUUUAAUUAACGGAGCGGAUCCUUAUCGUCAUGGGAACAGAUGUGAUAGGUUGCUCGUGACGCGUUUUGCCACCUUGACAGGUUUUAGAAUUACAUGGUGCGAAACAGCACGCACACACACACGUGCACACACACUUGCCGACACGCUGUGCUCCCAUCAAUUCGGAGCAGACAUUUUGCCUUGUCUUGACAGAGCUUGAGAGCCUUACAUGUGUGUCCAAGCAGAUCAAUAGGUGCUCACUAUAAAAGAAGGACCCGGGCGUAAAUUAACACACCGGGGAGUUGCCAGAACAAGACACAGGCACAAGAAUCAUCAGGGGUGUUAUUUCGACAAACACACCUCAGCUGCCUGAGUAGACAACAAGUGGUCGGGGGUGCAAUUUGCUGCACUACCUUCCUGUUUAAGAGAGUAGCUUUCUUUAAUGUGAUAAGCAAAACGCUGCGUUCUCUUUUUUUAACACUGGGUCCACUAUCACAAGUCAGUAAAGUCGCCGUAGGCUGUAAAAGAGCAAAUAAAAGCCUUCAAAAAAAACAUGUCACCAUGCCUGGCAGGUUUACUUCACGUGCAUCUAUUAUACAUGAAAACAUUGUUAAUAUAGGUUGUAAAAACACUUUACACGUGCUAUAUUUUCAAGAGCGCCGUGCCGCCGAUCCUCGCCGCCGGCUAAAUGUGAUUACGGUGAUCUAACGUGUCAUCAUCCCUGUUUUACUUCCACUUGUUACAAACUGCUUUAGAUAAAAUGUUUUAAAUAUAUUCUUUGCCUGCUCACGAAAAAGGCUCCGACUGCACGGCUCUGAUGGGAGCACGAGGGGAAGUCAAUGCGGUGAUGGAGACGCAUCACAACAGCUUACGUAUUUCAAUGCACCGACGUCACCAAUAUACAGUAUACUGUAGAACCAGUGGGACCGCGUGCAACAAGCUCUCACCUCUUUGCAAUUAAUGCAAAUGAAAACAGUCUCAAGCAGCACAGAUUUCGCAGAGAAUGCAACAGCCUGACAUCUUUGUUGACGUUCAAAAAACGCUUCACAUUACAAGGCCAGGUUUCCAUCCAAGUGUGCUGUAGCAAAACUGCUGAUGAAACUUUGGGAAAAAAAAAGUGCCGCCGUUUCCACUGUCCACUUUGGUUUUUACAAUUACUUAUACGCUUUUCCAGUCAGGUGCUAUAGAAAAACCGUAAGAAUGAACACAGGGCUUGGCCUCCAUGGCUGUGUCCAGAUUUAAUAUGUAACGUCCUCUGGGUCGAAUUUAAUAACAAAGAAAACAGAGUUUGUCUUUUUCGUAUGCUAAUGCCUACAGUGGCUUUUGUACUGUUAAUAACACUGACGAUGGUUAACAUCUCAUUGCCUUCUUCCGUAAGAAUAAUCAUUCAAGUAGCACUUUGAAGCAAUGUUUUCUAUGAAUGGGCCGCCAUUACAUCUCAUGUACAUAUCAAUAUAUCCGCCAUUGUGGUGAAGUGCAUAAUGUCAGCUAUUAUUGCUAACCCACAACCACUGUUUAUCUUAAAUGAUAUGCAGCUUCUUUUUCUUCUUCCUCUUCAGGCGUAUUAGUGAAUUGUAUUAGUGGCAGCCGUUUACUCAAAGCAUUCAGACAUUGCUGCAUUUUUUUCUCUUUUCGCCGCCCUCCACUUACUUUCUGCUCACGGUGUGCUCCGUAGCAGGGAUUAAAAUGUUAACGAAGUAAUGAACACGACGCGGUAAACGCACUGUUCGCUGAAUCUAAACCCCUCCAGCCUCCAGGCAAAAUCACGACGCUCCACUCCCGCUGCACGCCGUUUACAUACCAUGAACGCAGCAUGGGUGUUCACCACGUACAGUCCACAUGUUCACAAAGACAAUUAGGUUGAUUUUUAUUUUAAAAAAAAACCCAACAAAACAUGAACUUUCUAAAUCUUCCACCAUCACUCCCAGGGUAAAUGAUUAAUUAAGUGCAGCCUUCUCUUGCAGGGCGUCGGCUCUGACACACACAGAUACACACACGCAACCAAUAGACCCUUUAGCAAACACGACUGCUUAGAUGCGUUUACAGUACAGACAGUCCCUGUUAGACUCACACACACAGGCAAAUAUAUGCACACAGACAAUAGCCUGCAACUCCCCUCCAGCCUAGCAGGUAAUUGCUGUCUAUGGGGGGACAGGUGCUUCUACAAUAGAGCGCCAGUGUCCAGGCAGGCUCUAUUCAGCCCCACUGUAAUUACCUAAUUGAAAAGCUCGCAGGGGAGAGAGAGAGAGAGAGAGAGUGUGUGUGUGUGUGUGUGUGUGUUCUGAGUGACAGAGAAUGUGGAGAGCGGGGAAAAAAUGAGAGGAGAAAGGAAAAGAUAAGCUCUGGGGUUUUUGGAAUACAAAAAAGCUAUAUACUUCACACCACACACAACUAUACGCAUACUCACAUAUUCAUACACGCACACAUAUAUGGGUCCAUGGUGCCAUUUUUGCACCCAUGAGCAAAUAUUCGCGUGUAUAAGACCACACGCGAGCACUCACUGAGGUAUUUUGCGAAUCAGAUCGCUCCCGGGGGUAAACAUUGUCGAGCCGUGAUUGAGGCAUGGAGUGAAGAGGAGAGCGGUAAUGGGAAAUCUAUUGUUGCACGAUGAGGAUGCGGGGAGGGAAGAGAGGAGGAGGGUCAGGGUACGCUGGGAUAUGAAAGCGCCAUGGUCACUCUCAUUUCUGCUGUCAGCCCCUCUACCUCCGCCUCGGCUUUAAGUUUCAUACGGGAUUCAUUGGCAGAGUGAGAGCAGGAGGGGUCUGUGUGUGCAUGCAGUGCCUGUGUUCCUAUGUAUUGUGUAAUGUUUAAAAUGUAUUAGGAAUAUUAUUUAUUUAAAAAGUUGCUGCAGCGUGUAGUCUUCGAAACUUUUUACACCAUGUACAUCCUCUGAAAAAAAUAGCAUCAAGUAGCAUAGACCUACAUGUGCUGAUGUGUCGCAGGUGCUAACUGUUUGGACUGUUUUUGAGCCUUUCAUAUGCUUCCACUUACUAUCCUACGUUGAUGUAUGUGCUCUCAAUGUGCAACAACGUGACUACGUAGCAGAACUUACAACUAAGGAUUCUAAUGAAAAUUCUGUAGUAUUUUGAUAUUAACUGGAUGUUUUUAAAUUAGCUUAUUUAAUUAAAAAAUGUAAUUUGUGACCUGUAACUUUAAAGAAACACACUUAAGGCAAUAGUUGGUAAGUUUGCCUUUUUGCUUUGUUGAGGAGAGUAAGACAAUUAGAUUGACACCAUACUCAUGUGUGCACAGUUAAUAUGUAGCUUUAGCCAGCAGCUAGUUAGCUUAGCUGGCACAACAUCUGAAAACAGGAGGAAGCUGGCUCUGUCCAAAAGUAACAAUAUGCUCCUAACAGCAUCUCUAAAGCUGAAGUGUAAAAGAUGUGUUCUGUUGUUAUGCUGAGUGGCAUUGUAGCCUUUUUUAUAACAAAAAGAUAUCAGAGAGGUAUCAAACUAUUUACAUAAGAGCAAAGAAAGCUGCAGUUAGCUACUAUGGUGAAAUGCUGCCCCUGUUUAUAAGAGGUAUGAGUUCAACAGGUGGCACAUUUUUACAUAUGGCACCUUUAAUAGUAAGUAAAAGUAAAAAUUACAAAAAGCUACAAAAAGUUAGCCAGCUGCUGGUGGUAGCUUCAUAUUAACUAUUGAGAAAAGAGUAUCAGUCUUUCCAUCAUCAGUCAAUCAUGUAGCUCUUAUAAUUAGCAGAUCUAGGUGCUCAAACCAGUUGAAAACGUCCCUAUUUUGUUGCAAGCAAUAACUCGACAACGCCACACGCUUGACAAGACAAUCCCGUCUUGUUAUUGUCCUUGGAUGCAUCUGUUUUUACUGUAGCAGCCCUGUUUUGGCUCUUAUGUGUGCCUGCGGUCUAGUACAAAGCGAAGAAGCUCAUAUCCCCAAGGCUAGCAUUUGUUUGCACAGACUCACACUUGAAAUGUUCGGAGGUGAGAACUCCUGCAACACAAUCCAUCUUUGAAACCUUUCUGUUGCCAUUUCUUGAGCAGUGCAAAAAAAAAAUAUGAGCGCGUUUGAUGAGCGUAUUGGGUAUUUUUGUAUUCGCAGUGUGGUUUUGAGUGCCCUUAGAUGGGUGCAGGAAAGAAGAAAUCGGGCAUGAGAAACUGGGUCAGACACUGCAAGUGGAUUUCAAAGGCAGAUUUCUUGGAGAAAUCAUGUGAAAAGGUAAGAAUUUUGGGGAGUGCAAAAAGUGGGGAAGGACGGAGGAUGGCACGGCAAAAUGAAAUUACUAAAGGGAGGUACGAAAGAAAAGGAAGGAAUGUGCAGACAAAGCAAUUAUGGACACAAACAAGGACGAGGUCUACAUUUGGCCGGAAGCCUGAUAAAACGGUGGGAGAUUCCAGAGAACCGGCUCCUCCGUGCGAGCGGCGAGAUUUCGCGGUGAGCUGGACAGACAUCCUUUGGCUUGGCUCCGUGGCAUUUGGCGCGUCAAGCCCGGCAAACACAGAGAGAGAGAAAGAGAGUGAGAGAGAGAAAAAUAAGCUGUUAAGUAAAUAAACCAAUCUGCUGAAAUACCCGUCACUCCCCCUCUCUUUCUCUUCCUGUGACGUGCCCAGUGAAUCGCUGAAGCACAUUUCGGUGUCAGCAUGAGCAAAGAUGUCAUAUUCCAUCUCGCCGGGCAUCAAACGUACCCCGGAGUCGCAGACAUGUAAAUAAGACGUGCGGUUACAUGACGUUUGGUUUUGUGGGGAACGUUCGGGCCUGUGUGCCUCCCUUUCGUUCUCUCAUCUCCUACAGCUGUGAUGUGUAGACCCUAUUACAACAUGUAAAUGACCCCCUGCUGUGCAAUCUAGGAGUGAGGUAUGACAUCCAUGCUCAAAUGCGCGAAGCAGAAGUCGUAUAGUCUAUGAGUGACUGUGUGCGCGCCCUAGUCUGUGCGUGUGAUGCGUCUCAGCCUAAUGCCUCCUGCUCAAACAUGUGUGCAUUAUGCAUCCAUAUUCUGUAUGUGUGUUAGAUUCAAGCUGUCAGAAUCGGACAGAUGCUGUCUUGUCUCGUUGGCAAGUCACAUGAAUAAGAGAGAAUUCUGCUUUAGAUCAAAGCGGAGAUUCACUAUAAAUGGCACGUAUCUACCAGCAAGGCUGACACUCUCACAGCCCGUAUUGAAAUAGGUUACACUUUAGAACGGGGCACGCUCACAAAAGGACUUCUGAUGGAUAAUAUGCCUUCAUCGACCAGCAAUAAGCCACUAAUAAGAACCACUGUGGGUUUUGAGCUCCGGUGGACACUUUGCUCCGGAUGGUCUCCAGUUGUCAAAGUCCCCUCCUUAGAGGUGCAAUAUGUAGGAAUUUGCCACCUGUCAAGUCCAUAUCCCAACAGAGGGCAGCAUAGCACCAGGGUAACCGCUAACUGCAGCAAACUUUAGCUGCUGUUAGCUAGUGAGCUCUGAUAACCAUGUAGCUAGCUGUCGUAUUCGCUGACUCAGGCCCCACCAGGAGCUUUGAGUAAUGGAGGAGUGUUGGUGCUGUUUACUAUCGGACAAGUUGGGUAGGCACUAGCUGACUAGCAUGCUAACUUAAAUGGAUACAAAUUCCUAACUAAAAGAUAUUUUUAUUUGGUGGCUAAAACGUGUAGCUCAGGGCUACGUUAGCCACUGCUAGCAUAACACAACCAAAUCCCUGACAGAAUUUUGAAGGUUGAGUUGCAUAGUGGGUGCAUUCAAUGUUUUGGUGUCAAAAGUUGUGUAUUGUGUUGCAGAGAUAUUUAUUUGAGUUGGCAUGCUAACCAGCUAGCCUCAAACCAUCUUGUACCUCAGGAGCCGACAGUCUGAUUUUUAGCACAACACCAACACUCCCCUGAUGCUCCAAGCUCCCAGUCCAGGCAGAGUCUGCUAAUAUAAUACAAGUCCGACCGCGUUUUUCAGGGAAGCUGUAUCCAAAAGACAGAGCUCCGGAGCAACCGAGUGCCCUAAUUGCUUUAUUGGCUACGACAGCCUUGUUCUUGUUCUUUUAUCACCAACACACUCCAUCAGUCCUUUUCUCUGUCCUCCCACUAAACACUCGUCUCUCCUCUUCAACGUUUUGUCCCACGACAAUGGAGAAAAAGGGUCGACCUUACCUAGAAUCCAUUUAUCUUUUUCUCCAUCACGCAUACAUACGCAUGCCUAAUUUAUUCCGUCUUGUGCCCGGUUCUCCCUCAUCUUCCACUGUCUGACCCCGCACUAAAUGCCGGAGGUCACAUAUUUAUUUUGAAUAGUUUCUCUUCCAGCCUUGAUGGCACAAAAGAAAUAAAAUCGGACUUAUUUAUUGCCGUAUAAAACAUGGGAGUUUCUGGAAAAUGAAACCUUGGAGGAUGGAUGAUAUUGAAUUUUUCAACAUAGUGCUCAUUUCAAGCCCAUUGUCUCCCUCUCCCUUGGGACCUGGCCUGUUACAUGUUGCAUUUAAGCACACAGGUCAAUAAAGGUAAUUGAUAAGCUCUCAUAUGGAUAUAUAGUGAUGAAUGAAGGAUAUUUCUGUGGCAAUGAAUCAAACUUCCUCAGGAGCCAUAAAUGGAUGGUUGUAUCCUCCGCCUAAUGGGAAUAAGCAUAAACUCAUUCCCCAUAGUCAAUGCCAUACAGUGUCACAGACAGGCACCUAUAGGGCCGCGUUAUUGGUCCAUCACUUACACUUUAUGAGCACCUCAGAGCUGAGGCGGAGAUGGUGUAGCAUUGCUGGUGGCUUAGUGAUAGAUUAUUGGCAAGCCCAUCGAUCUGCCCGAGAAGGCGAUAGAAACAAAGCAUCCAUCUUCUUCAGCUUAAA
Acanthopagrus latus (yellowfin seabream) is the source of this 7131-nucleotide long non-coding RNA. RefSeq lists it as uncharacterized. The record is from RefSeq and is a predicted model, not a curated record. NCBI's taxonomy places the organism in Eukaryota, Metazoa, Chordata, Actinopteri, Spariformes, Sparidae. The transcript has 2 exons.